Molecule: ribosomal RNA, 424 nt
Filed under: uncultured Lysobacteraceae bacterium
Lineage: Bacteria; Pseudomonadati; Pseudomonadota; Gammaproteobacteria; Lysobacterales; Lysobacteraceae
Description: bacterial SSU rRNA
Rfam family: Bacterial small subunit ribosomal RNA
Source: RNAcentral
GGGGAAUAUUGGACAAUGGGCGCAAGCCUGAUCCAGCCAUGCCGCGUGGGUGACGAAGGCCUUCGGGUUGUAAAGCCCUUUUGUUGGGAAAGAAAAGCAGCCGGCCAAUACCCGGUUGUUCUGACGGUACCCAAAGAAAAAGCACCGGCUAACUUUGUGCGAGAGCCGCGGUAAUACGAAGGGUGCAAGCGUUACUCGGAAUUACUGGGCGUAAAGCGUGCGUAGGUGGUGGUUUAAGUCCGUUGUGAAAGCCCUGGGCUCAACCUGGGACUGCAGUGGAUACUGGAUCACUAGAGUGUGGCAGAGGGUAGUGGAAUUCCCGGUGUAGCAGUGAAAUGCGGAGAGAUCGGGAGGAACAUCAGUGGCGCAGGCGACUGCCUGGGCCAACACUGACACUGAGGCACGAACGCGUGUGGAGCAAACA